This 104-nucleotide small nuclear RNA is filed under the name Sorex araneus (European shrew). Lineage: Eukaryota; Metazoa; Chordata; Mammalia; Eulipotyphla; Soricidae. The record is from RNAcentral.
GUGCUCGCUCCGGCAGCACAUAUACUGAAACUGGAAUGAUACAGAGAUUAGUAUGGGCCCUGCGCAAGGAUGACACGCAAAUUCGUGAAGUGUUCCAUAUUUUU